This 122-nucleotide transfer RNA is filed under the name Eutypa lata. RNAcentral's name for it is "tRNA-Leu". It matches the Rfam family "tRNA". Rfam says of the family: Transfer RNA (tRNA) molecules are approximately 80 nucleotides in length. Their secondary structure includes four short double-helical elements and three loops (D, anti-codon, and T loops). The record is from RNAcentral. Lineage: Eukaryota; Fungi; Ascomycota; Sordariomycetes; Xylariales; Diatrypaceae.
GCCCGUUUGGCCGAGUGGUUUAUGGCGGUGGUUUUAAGUCUUUUCUGCUCUCCUCUCCUGGAGAGCUAAUAAGAACAACACCAUUUUCGAAAGAAGCGUCGGUUCGAGCCCGACAGCGGGCA